UUACAACGCCUCUACAUAGUGUACGUCGGUAUUGGCUUGCUCCUUGUAUUUUGUAACCCUCCAUCAAUGAAAUGAUACGCAUCUAGCGUAUUUGCACAAAAAAAGUUAAUAGAGGAGCCACAGCGGCCUCAGGUGAAUUUUCGUAAGCUCUGAACCACGCUAUCUGUUCGAAGUGAUUGCUACCAGCCAAACUCAAAGUAGGUCAGGAAUAGCAUGUCAGCAGGCAAGGUGCUCAGCGGCUGCACUCAUCUCAUCUGCUGAUUUUUCUUUAUUGAACAAGCUCAUCUGUUGAUUAGAAAUUUGAGAAAGAAGAACUCUCGUCUCCUCUCUGCUUCUUCUCACUUAUACUCUGUUUUCUCUGCUACUCUUCUCCGCCCCAUGAAGUCAUUUUAUGCAGGGCCGCUGGUCCAAGGCUCGUGCUCACAAAGUACGUAUCACCCAGAUUAUUAUUUGUAGUUUCAAGCAUUGCAUUCAGUUAGUGCCAACGUCCUUUUAACCCUAUGCAAUUUUCACAUCUUUUUUUUGGGAAAUGUUCGGAUUUUAGAAGAUCUUCAUGAACAUUUCACAAGACAUAGAGACUUGUUGAUUUCAUUAUUCUGCUUCUCAGGUUGAUGCCAUAUCUUGGUGUAAUUUUUUGCCUUGUGAGUGGACACCGAAGCCUGCAACCGUUUCACUUCAUUCUAAUAUAAUAUCACUGGUAUGAUAAGACGUGGAUGAUACUUCAGAAAAAAAAAGACCUAAAAUCAACAUGAAAUGAUGCUCAACGCCCUCCCUGCCAUGCCACGCCAAGCGGGCCGCCGCCAUGUUGACAUGCCAUGACGGCAGUCCAUACGGUAGCAGGAGACACAGUAUUUGCAUGGCAGGACAAGUUUGAGCACCACUUUUAUGUAUUUUACAAUUUAAGCAUCAAAACUAACCACACGAGCCAUGUUUAAACACACGCACUGUAUUUAACUUAAUAAAAAAUUAGGAGAAUGAACAUCACUGUAUGGCACGUGGACAUUGUAUAUUUGUAUCAUGAGUGCCUUUGUAGAUUGGUUUGUUUAGCCAUCGGUGUGACUUGUUUUGGCCAGGCUAGAUAACUGGACUCCCCUCACCUCCUAAUCUUCCGUUACGUGGUGGCAGACAUAUUGCAAUCAGUCUGGUGUUGUUAGUAUCAGUGUUACAUAUCGG
RNAcentral lists this long non-coding RNA (1173 nucleotides) under Hordeum vulgare. RNAcentral describes it as "long non-coding RNA (HVUL_LNC013773)". The record is from RNAcentral. Lineage: Eukaryota; Viridiplantae; Streptophyta; Magnoliopsida; Poales; Poaceae.